ACCCGUGGUUCCCUGCUUCAGAAACACGAUGUUGGAGUCUACAGAUUUUUAAAAAAUUUUUUUAAAUAUUUAUUUUUGAGACAGAGACAGAGCAUGAGCAGGGGAGGGGCAGAGAGAGAGGGAGACACAGAAUCGGAAGCAGGCUCCAGGCUCCAAGCCAUCAGCACAGAGCCCGAGGCAGGACUUGAACUCACACACCGUGAGAUCAUGACCUGAGCCGAAGUUGGACGCUCAACCAACUGAGCCACCCAGGGUCCCCUGUAGUCUGCAGAUUUUAUGUCCUUCCACUGUCAACACCCACAGUUGCUUCUACGGGUGUUUCCAGCUGAGGAGUCCGCAUUCCUUUCUCGAGAUGCACAGUGUUCGUGCAACACUGUGAUUCUUCUGGAUGUUUUUCCUUCUGGGCAUUUUCCUUCCUCAGUGCACAGCGACCGUUCUUCACACCACUCCCUGCACCCCCUGUGUCGGCCAGCAGCGUGGCAGUGCCGUGGGGUUCAGAAAGGACCAGACUGGAGGCCCGUGCCUGGCACGUAGUCCCACCCUCUCCCCACUUAGCUACUUGGCAAACGUGACCUUGGUGAGACCGCGUUGCCUGCUGGGCGUCUGCGGACUGGAUGCAAUUGAAAUCGAGAUAAAUGGUCAGAGCCUUCACGUACUUUGUUUUUCUCUCAUACGUGUUUAGGCAUCUAUGGACGUGCACACAUAGUAAGUAUUUUAUACGUUGAUACGGUGAAGAUAUAUUCAUUGCUGUUGGUCUCCAGAUUCCUUUUGCAAAAAUGUUUUUUUAUUUUUUUAUUUGAGAGAGAGAGUGUGUGUGAGUAGGGGAGAGGCAGAGAGAGAGAGAGAGAGAGAGAGAGAGAGAGAGAAUCGCAAGCACGCUACCCUCAGUGAGGAGCCUAUCUUGCGACUUGAUCCCAAGACCCUGGGAUCACGACCUGAGCUGAAAUCAAGGGUCAGAUGCUCAACCGACUGAGCCGGCCAGGUGCGCCCCACCAGAUUCCUUUUACAAGCACUUCCCCUCACGUUAGUAGAAGCCGCCCAUUCGUGUUGAAUUCCUUUCCAUUUUGCAGAGAAUCACUGGUGCUUCAGCUCCCGUGCUUGGGGAGCCGGCCCCCACACGGCGGAGUGCUUCCCAUCCUGACCCGUGCACCUGCUGGUUGAGCGCUAAACCUCCCGGGUUUAGCUUCCCGGGUUUAGCCUCCUCUCCUUCCCUCUCUGUCCCAUUGUGAUCCACUGGUGCGUUUCUUGGGCCUAAUUGUGCAAACACCCUAGUUCUGUGGCUCAGGGUCAGAUGCCCAGUGUGACAGCAACAACUAUCCCUUUAAAGCAGCGGCCAAUGAACGGCGGGAGCAGUGUUUCAAAAUAACGUCUUUGAAAAAGUAUUUGGGACGUGAAUAAGCCGGGAUUGUCAUGGAGACUUCCCAUGGCAUAAAAUAGAAGGCAAUCUCUUGCCACAGUCUCCAUGACAACAUUGAGUUCACGUGCUUACAUAUACCUGCAAUUAAAUUCCAUUAAGAAGGAAAGGGCUGCAUCUCAAAGCCACUAGAUUUACCACGACUGCUGUUUAGCUGGAGACCAGAGACCCGAUCUGUUUUGCUAAUGCAUUUUCAAAAGCACUGAGCCUUCGAUAACUACUUUUUCACCCUUCUGGGAGUUUGAGUUGUUAGGACAACUCAGAAUCCUGUCACGAGCCUGGUGAUUUUAGGACAGGAUCAUCCAGACGCUCGAUUCCCCAUUCUUCCCGCCCUGCGGCUUCUGUGCUCACCCACACUGCCACCAGGUGAAGACAGAGAGUGUCGGAGAGCACGCUGUUUCGAGUGAUUCGGGCAAAAUGUGUGGUGCAGAAAAGAUGACAUUUAAAAAAACAUUUUCAGAGAGGGAGAGAGAGAGAGAGAGAGAGAGAGCGAGCACACACAUGCGAGCGGGGGAGGGGUAGAGGGAGAGACAGAAUCCCAAGCAGCCUCCUCACUGUCAGCACACAGCCAGACGCGGGGCUCGAACUCACGAAUUGUAGAUCACGCCCUGAGCUGAAAUCAAGACGCUUGAGCAGCUGAGCCACCCAGGCACCCCCCAGAAAAGACAUUUUCGGCUGAGCUCUUUCCAUGUUUUCUGUGGUGUGCGGUCCCCUGGGCCCGGGGAAAGGCGGUGACCCUCGUGCCCCCUCACGGUCCGCGGCAGGACCAGGCCGGGCAUCUCCACGCGGACAAGCCCGCCGGGAGCUCUGCCGAACUUCUUUCUGAUUUUGCCGAGUCGCUUAUUGUCUGUCUCUUGGGAUUCCUUCUUUUAUGGAAGACCAGAUAGAUCCUCCCUUAGAAGUGGAUGCGGAGGCCUUUAAUUUUAUUCCGCGUGGAAAAUAAAGAAAAUGUUUGUGGCUCCAGACAAGCCCGCUCUCCUCCGAAGAGCCACGACCCCAGGCAACGCUGAUGUCAACUACGCUGCGAACAGCCCCCACGUGACAUAAGCUUCCCUCUCAAGGGGCUGCGUGGGUUACAGACAGAGAACAUAAACGGUUAAUUCUCCUGCGUUUGUGAUAACACUGCAACCUUAACGACCCUCCCUCCGCCAGACACAAACUCAGUAGAAAAUUCUCAGUUCCCGUCAAGCCUGGAUAAGAUAUUCUUUUGCCAGAGUGAAGGACUGUCGACAUAAUUGAAGUGUCCAGGCGGGACCACUGGAGCCCGGGUUUUAAGGAACGUGCUUGGUAUUGUCCUCCUUCGACUCAGAAGUGCCGUGGAGUAGGGCUUGCAGCUGCCACGUUCUCAAAGCCCCUGCAGAGCCGCCUGCGGGACGGGACUGGGCUGCGGGUCCGUCUGCGGUGUGAGCUGCGUCCUCCGUGGCGGUGGAGGCUGUUCCCAGAAUGAUGGCUUCUGUCUGUGAAAAGCUGCAUAUAGACUUUCAGAUCCAGAGCUUUCAAAAGGGUGAGAUGUGGAUUAAUUUUAGGGGAAAGGAAUGGCACGAGAAUGUUUCUUAAGCUCCCGGUGGUUUGAGAAUUCAAGACUGAAACGUGCGGAGACUGUCUGGACCCAGGCAAACUAAGAGAUAAGAAAUUUGUUGUGAACAGGGAGAACACUCGUUUCUGUCACUUCCCCUAUGUUAGUAUUUUUUGCCAGCUUUCAGUAGCAAAAAGCAAUAGAUUUUUUAAAAGGGGCAUCUUUCUCUACUGACAUAAUUCAGCCUAUGAACAAACCAUGCGUUUAAAAGAUUUUUUUUUAGGUUUAUUUAUUUUUGAGAGAGAAAGAGAUGGAGACCCAGUGCAAGUGGUGGAAGGGGCUGAGAGAGAGGGAGACACAGAAUCCGAAGCAGGCUCCAGGCUCCGAGCUGUCAGCACAGAGCCCGACGUGGGGCUCGAACCCACGAACCGUGAGAUCAUGACCUGAGCCGAAGUCGGACGCUUAACCGACUGAGCCACCCAGGCGCCCCCACCUAACAAAGUCUUUUUAAUAAGAAGUAUGAUUAAUACAAAUUCUGCCUUAGAAUGCCCCUCGGAAUGGCUAACCUGGUAAUUAGUCUUUCCAAAGCUUUCUACGUGUCUUCUGAGGUGUGUGUGUGUGUGUGUGUGUGUGUGUGUGUGCGCGCGCGCGCGCGCGCACACGUGCACCCUUGCAAACAGGACAUUUACCUGGAUAAAUGUGUGCUAAUCGGUUCUGCCUCCUGGGGGAAAGAACAUACGGUAUUUGUGGUCUGGAGACCGCAGAAUGCAUGGAAAGGGGUUUGGUUACAACAAAACGGACAGUCAUACAACUACUUUCAUUUGGAAAAGACGUAUCCUUCAAGAUUGUGGUGUAAGGAAGGGACGGGCCGGCCACUGCUGUCCUGUGCCGCCACCUGUCAUGUGUCCCGCCCUGAAUCAGGGCAGGUUCUGUCCAUUUUGUCUUCAGUUUCCUCUUUGUCUUUGAUGCCUUCUUCCCAGGCCCUACAUUUUUAUAGCAGUGCAUUUCCACAGCCACUUCCGUGACGGUGACUUCUAUUGUAUCUGUCACCUAGAAGCUGAUGGUCGGCUGGCACCUUUUCCAUACUGCGGCUUUAGGCCUUCAGAGGAGGGGCCCAUUUAGGUACCUACAGGAAGCUUUAGAAACUCCCAGAAGUCUCACCCAGUGUCCUCACAGGUCUGACCCUGACCUCACUCCGUGCACACAGGUUGCAUGCUCAGCCGUGGCCAAGACCAGGGUCGCGGGGAGGGACAGCCAGAAAGGGCUGCCUGUUCUCGGGAGGUGAGGGUGCUCCGUUUUCCCCAGGAGGGCAAAGCAGACUUUGUUGUUGCCCAGGCAGGCUGUACUCCAAGGUAGCCUGCAGUAGUGUGUACUUGAAGACAGAAAGUCGGCGCACACGUGUGUGCACAAGUGCCAGCACGUGCAAGUGCGUGCACACGCAAGUGUCAGUACGUGUGUGCACAUGCACAAGUGUUGAUGUGUGUGCACGUGUGCAAGCACAAAUGUCCAUGUGUGACAAGUGGCAGUGUGCACGUGUGUGCACAUGUGCACACACAAGUGUCGAUGUGCUUGUGUAUACACACACACGCACAAGUGUUGAUGUGUGUGUACAUGUGUACGCAUAAGCGUUGAUAUGGAUGUGUGCAUGUGCACACGCCCAAGUGUUGGCGUGUGCAUGUGUGUGCAAGGACAACCAUCGAUGUGGGUGUGUGCAUGCACAAGUGUCCGUGUGCGUGCAUGUGUGCAAGCGUCGACGUGUGUGCCACGUGCACAUACACAAGUGUCAAUUGUGUGCGUACAUGUGCACGCACAAGUGCCAUUGUGUGAGUGUGUAUGCGUGUACACGCACAAGUGUUGAUGUGCUUGCAUAUACACGCACACGCACAAGUGUUGAUGUGUGUGUACAUGUGCACGCAUAAGUGUUGAUGUGGAUGUGUGCAUGUGCACACACACGUGUUGGCGUGUGCAAGGACAACCAUCGAUGUGGGUGUGUGCAUACGUGUGUGCAUGCACAAGGGUCCGUGUGCGUGCAUGUGUGCAAGCGUCGACGUGUGUGUGCCACGUGCACAUACACAAGUGUCAAUUGCGUGCGUACAUGUGCACGCACCAGUGCCGAUGUGUGAGUGUGUAUGCGUGUACACGCACAAGUGUUGCUGUGUGUGCACGUGUGCAAGCACAAGCAUCGAGGUGUGUGUGCAGAAGCGUCUGUGCAUGCGGGUGCACGCGUGCACGCACAGGUGUCGGCGUGCAUGUGUGUGGGUGCGCGCGGUGGAGGCGUUCCUCAAGGGACUCAGACCGCGGACAGGGCGGUCCUUGCCUCGUCGAUGUCCGUUUGUUCACCGAGUGCCACCUGAGACAUAAGCGAGCGUGUUUCCCGCCCUCCUCCCGAGUCCCCUCCUGGUGUGAGGGCGCUCCGGCCUUGGCAGGAGGGCUGGGGGAGGGGUCUCCGGCCGACCCCUGCCGGGAGUCCGACAGCCUGGAACAGCCGACUCGUUGCUCGUGAAGCACGUGGUGUUGACGGCUGGCAGGACUCAGCGGAGCGGGCUCGCGCGCCUGGGCUCGGAGACAUGGACGGCCUCCAGGCGCUGCUUCUCCGCUCUCUCCUGUCGCCUGGGAGCCCGCCAGGUUCAGGUUUAUCUCCGCCAGAGCCUCGCGCCUCACGGCCCGCCCGCCGCAGCGCUUGGGCGGAGGACGUGGGUGCUCCCGCCCCCCGCUGGGGCCUGUGCCGCUGGCGGGCAGGGGCGAGGCGGAGGCCGGAGCCUGCAGGGGGGGCUGGAGGGAUGGCUGGGUCGCCCUGCGGGACCGGUCCCCCGGGCUUGGGGCAGAGAGGACGAUGAUCAGGCUGCCGCACAGGAAACUGCAGAAACUGUUUCUCAGGAAGGUAAGUGGGCGGGGGGACCUCGCCCUCGGCUGGGAAUCCCGGGGGAGGUCGCCACGGUUUUAAUUUGCUGCCGGGAAAUCACUGCUGUCCUAGAUGUUGGGCAGCGAGCCCCAAGCUCCAAGCUGUUCCGUGGGGCAGAGUGAGAUUCCGCGCCUCGCGCCGCGCGCCGCGCCGGUGUCGCAGGUCACGGGGGACACCGAGAGCAGGUCGGCAGCUCCAUUCGGACUGUUGCCGUUUUCACUUGCCUGGCUUUCGAGGGGGUGUUAGAGCCCGAACGGAUGCACUGUUGGCGUCCCCGGAUGUAUUUUCACCAUCACAGAGGCUGCGUCGCUCAGUCGUCCUGCGAUGUCAGAAGCAAAGGAACGGAACGUGUCGAAGUUGACCUUUACUGAAACCCUUGCUGAAAAGGCAAAGUCGUAGGAGAGAAUCGGAUUUAGCAGUUUGCCUUUAAAUUCUUUUUUUUUCGUUUUUAAAAAACAGCUCUACUGUUGUAAAACUCACGUAACAUAAAAUUUGACCAUUUAAAUCGUUUUCCGGCAUCCCGUGCGGUGGCAUUAUGCGCGUUCGCUUUGCAGUGCAGCCGUCAUCACUAUGUGUCCAGAGCACUCGCGCCUUCCCAAGCUGAGACUCGGCCCGUGACACACGCCCUCCCCACUUCUCCCGCCCCCCGCGUCCCCGCUUGUAGGUGAGAUAACUCUAAUACGUACAGUCCUGUGCGCUGUGUCAGGUUACAAAAAGCCGGCUCAGGCAGACUGACUGUAGGCUGUCUGUUGGAUUUGUUAGGGAAGUUACUUUGAAUUGUUAUCUCUUUUUUAAAAAUGUUUAUUGAGUUUUGGGAAAGAGAGAACGUGAGUGAGGGAGGGGCAGAGAGAGAGGGAGACAGAGAAUCCCAAGCCGGCUCCACGCUGUCUGUGCAGAGCCCAAAGUGAGGCUCGAACCCACAAACCUUGAGACAGCACAGAGCCCCACGCGGGGCUUGAACCUGGGAACCGCGAGAUCGUGACCUGAGCUGAAGUCAGAUGCUUAACUGACGGGGCCACCCAGGUGCCCGUAUUGAAUCUCUUUAAAAAAAAAUUUUUUUUUAACGUUUAUUUAUUUUUGAGACAGAGAGAGACAGGGCAUGAACGGGGGAGGGUCAGAGAGAGAGGGAGACACAGAAUCUGAAACAGGCUCCAGGCUCUGAGCGGUCAGCACAGAGCCCGACGCGGGGCUCGAACUCACAUGCCGCGAGAUCAUGACCUGAGCCGAAGUCGGACGCCUAGCCGACUGAGCCACCCAGGCGCCCCUCUCUUUUAAAAGAGAAUUAUGAGCUACAGGUUUGUUUGUUCGUUUUUUUAAAUCACCAGCACACCAACAUAAGUAUGGGAUUUGUGAGUCUCAAUACUUUUUGAAGAAAAUCUGUUUUCUUUAACUUCGUAUAGCUUUUUUUACGUUGGACAAAAUGUGUCUGUGCUUGCUAUAUGUAGAUUUGGGGUUAAUAAGUUUACUUGUAGAUCUUUAUACAUGGAAAUAUUUUUUAAAGAUAAAUUUAUGUUUCACUUGACAACCACUCCUAAAAUACUGUUUUUAGUAAUUUUAUAAGGUGAGCGAAAGCUGUUUCCUUCUGCUUUGGCGGUUAAGAAAACUGAGGUGUUAAGCUCGCAAGGGGCGUGCUCACGCUGUAGGAACAUAUGGACAGACCUAAAGGUAGAAUUUGUGCCCCUGGGGGGGCGCCUGAGUGGCUCAGGCAGUUAAGCGCCAGACUCCUGAUUUCGGCUCAGGUCAUGAUCUCGCGGUUCGUGAGAUCGAGCCCCGUGUUGGACUCUGCCCGGACAGAGCGGAGCCUGCUUGGGAUCCUCUCUCUCCCUCUCUUGCUGUCCCUCCCGGACUGGUGCUGUCUCUGUCUUUCUCAAGAUAAAUAAAUAAACUUAAAAAACUGUUUCCAAACAUAAGAUUAAAAAAUAAGUAAGUGCGUGAGGUGAAGGACUUAAGGUAGAAAAAUGAAUCUGAAGUGAGGCGUGAGGUUGGUCCCCUAAUUGAAGUCACGAGGGACAGCGUGCUUGCAGAUGGCACGCCGUGGCCUUGAUUCUGAGAUUGCUGGUUCCUCGAGCAGCAGAACACAUGGGGUCUGAGCCACAAGAAACAAACAAAAAGCCUAAAACCGGUUGUUCAGGUGAACACGUCUUUUUGUCCCUGAGCCCAGAGAGAGACAUCCCCCCCUGCCCCCACCCAGGCCUUCCUAGCAAGCCCACCGUGUGAAAAGCAGUGAACGGUAUCCCCAACAGUGGCCUUCUGUUAAGUACAGGGCGUUUCUCAGUGAUGUUUUCGGUGACGCCCCGAGUCGUAGGCUGGGGGGUAAGACCACCGUACAAAGCGGAAGUCAGCCCUGUGCGGUCUGGGCGAACCGCUCUCUGAAGGUCUGAUUUCACGCAGGGACACGGGAAGCCACCUGGAAGUACGCGUGGAUGCGUCUCUGUAACUUUGGGGACGGAUCGGUACAUUUUGUUAGAAUCCAGUGGCCCCGAGUUUGGGGUCCUUGGCAAGUACAGGAAUGCGCAUUUUUCGGUGCUGCAGGUGAUGAGGAGGGGCUCAUACCAUUUGGGCACCGGAAAGGGUCUUAGAAACCACACCGCCCACGACUCCAUUUUCUAGACAAGGAGACUGAGGGUCCGAGAAGUUGAAAUGCGCCAGGUCACCCAGAGAGGGAGGGGCAGAGCUGGGGCCCUUCUGAGCUCUUCCCUUUAUACCGCGAUGGGCACACAUGUCAGGGGUCAGCACCGCCUCCAGAGAACCGCGAAGGUGACCCCUACCCGCCUCUCUUAACCAUUCUUCAUCUUCACAGUGUCUUCAUUUGACACUUUGACCUGUGGGGGGGCUCACCCUGGGGGGGCUGCUCCUCCCAGGGUGAGCCGGUUUCUGGAGACAGUGAACAACUCACUCGGAGAGCACCUUUCAUGGGGAAGCAACCCAUCCAGAGCCACGCCCAACCCUGCCCUGUGGGGCUCUCGUGCUCUGGGCCACUGGCCCCCCACCCGGUCACCCCAGGGCAGGUCCUGACAGCUAGCCCCCCACCCUGUCACCCCAGGGCAGGUCCUGACAGCUAGCCCCCCACCCGGUCACCCCAGGGCAGGUCCUGGCAACUAGCCCCCCACCCUGUCACCCCAGGGCAGGUCCUGACAGCUAGCCCCCCACCCUGUCACCCCAGGGCAGGUCCUGACAGCUAGCCCCCCACCCUGUCACCCCAGGGCCGACUGAGCCACCCUGGGGGCCAAAGACAAGCGUUUUUAAAAGCAGUUCACAUGGAGGGUUAUUUAAAAGGCCAUUAAUGCAAGACAUUUACUACGUGGUUAUGAAAACGUGGUUGCUGGAAAAUAAUGACCCACGUCAAGGAAAGAGGAGGAGAGAGGGUUGCAGAAAGUAUAAUUCACUAAUCGUUUGCCCAUUUAUUGAUUCUCUUCCCAUUUUAUCAAUGAAAAAUUCUGUUCGAAGGAAAUUGAUGAUAGUGAAGCCUCACAGAAAUUGAGCAGCGGGUUAAAAAUGCAAGCAGCUGGAAUCUGAGGAAAGAACACACACGUAGUUCUUCGGAUGGCCCGGCCUGGUGUCCCUGUGCGACUCCUAAGGACAUCCUGUGGCUCUUAAAACCCCCUGACCUUCUCGGAUCUGUGAAGGCACAGACCUGUCCUUCAUUUCUCUGCUUCUAGUAAAAUAUUCACCCCCAGCGGCACACGUUUGUUUCUGGUGAUGGUGCGUGUGAUUAGUGACGUAUUUUAAGAAUGGGCAGAAACUGUUGGAUCCAGUUUCUGUCGUGAAGGUUGUGAAUGUAAAGAAAAUACUGAGACGGCAUCCAGUUAAUAUUCAAGGCUGCUUACGUGGGACAGUACAGCGGCGAUUUUAAGUGUGUUAUUGGGUCUUUACGGAGAUUGGUUUUCUGGGGUUGUGACUGAAAUUUUCUUUGCAAGAGGCUUAUUUGGAAGGGAAGCCAGGAAAGUAUGGCUGCAUCUCUCUGUUCUACCCAAGGAUGACGGUUCAUCUGUUCUAUAAAUACCUGUGGAGCGUCUGCUCCAGGCUGGGUCCUGGGGGUGCAGCUGUGAACCAGGUAGAUGGGCCUGCCCUCUCCGGCUCACGGUCCGGCAGGACAGCCAGCCCUCUGCCCUUGGUGACCCACGGGCUGCAACAGGGACAGCACGGCCCCGGGGAGAGGAGCUUGUAACAACGCCACCUACAAGGGAAAUGGCACCUGUGUCUGCCUUCUGUGGUGACCUCACCCACAGCACGAGCUGCUCACGGUGAACAGGCUGCCCCCCGCCUCCCCUCCCCCCCCCCGACGUGUCACAGGAGGUAGGUACAGUCAGGGCUGAAGGUGUCGGGCUCCCAGCAGAAUGCAUAAGACUCGCUGCAAGGGCUGGGGACAGGGCCGUGGUGACCACGUAGGUAAAACCUCGCCAGGAGCGUCCAACCUCCUGGUCCAGGGACCGGCUCCUUACGGUUUUACUAUCUAAUGCAUAGUGUAAACCCUCUUUCUCUCUCAAGAUUUCUUUCAGUUUAUUCUAAAUUAUCCCUCGAAACUAACACGUGUCCCCAGUUCUAGAAUCUGAAGCUUUGUAACGAGUCCGCGCUCUGGAUUUCCUCACAACCGCCGUGGGCUGAGCUCAGGCUUCUCUCGAGCCCGUCCUUUCUGUGUGACGUUCCCACCAGGUUAGCCUGGCCUCGCGGCCCCUUCUGGAGGAUGAGGCCGGAAUGAAUUACACUUAUUAGACACAGGUAUUUAAAAUAAUAGACACUGGUUUUACAUAAUUUCGCAUAAGUACACGCGAGCCGUGGAUGCAUUUUUAGAGCAAGAUUUUUUAAAAUAUCAAACUGAGGUAUACAGAGUAAGCCCCCUUUUGAUCAGACAGGAAGUGAUAAAUCAGUCUUCACGGAUCCAGCCUGGUUAGGCCUCUCUGUGCUUCAGGAUCUUUUUCUCACGGGAAGACUGGCUUCUGCUUUUCAGGAUUUUCUUUGCCCCACAGCCUUUGACUGUGAACAGUCAGGAAGAAUAUUCUGUUUGUUCUGUGGGUUUCCAGGAGUCUGUGCAUCUUUUUGGCUUUGCGUCAGAUCCCCGAUUGCCUAAGCGUUAGAAUCCGCUGGUGAUGCAAAGUCCAAUCCAACUGGCUUGAACCAAAAAAAAAACAAGAAAAGGAAAUUUGUGGGGCUCGCAAACUGGAAACUCGAGAACACCGUGAUUGUGAGCUCAGACACACACGCUUCCGUCCAGGCUCCUUCCCGGGCCCUGAGUGGUGGCCCCAAUCCUGUUUCGGGUCACCACACACCCAGUCCGGCAGGAGAGAGGGUCCUUGCCCCCACCUGCCCUGUCGUCUGUCUGUGUCCCCGGGGGCGGGUUGGGGUGGAUGGAUUCUCCCUGUAGACAGGCACGUGUCAGGCAGGCCUGUACCGUCUGCAGCCCCCCCACCCCCACCCUGCUGAGGGUUCCAGCAGCUGCUCAGCCGUUUCUGGGGCAGGACAGACUGCCCCCCGAACCUGCAGAAAUCCUCCCUGUGACCAGCGUGUGGAUGCGGGAGGGGGGGUGCGGGGUCCCCGUGCGGUUCCCGUCCCUGGAAUUCAUCGCGUGCCUUGGCCUGCCAGGCCCUCCCGAAUCACCAGAAGGUGCCGGUCUUCCCACACCCCCUGGAGAACAAACAGGCAGCUUGAAGUCACAUCUGUCGGGUUUCCAGGAAACAGCACGGGGCUAGCAAACCCCGCUGAGUGGCAGAAAUAAUGCUGUGAUGUGUCGUCUCUCUGCUGUGGCCUCACUGACCUGGAAAGGCUGCCGGGCCCGGUGGCUACAGGGGCACAGGUGAAAGGGGUGUGCCCUGUGACUUGCUGGGCUGUGGGGCACAGGGCAGGGCCGCCCUCACCGAAGGACGUGUCACACGGGGAGUGCGGCCGGCUGGGGCUUCACCUCCUUUUAGGCAAAUGGAGUCUGUCCCUUGCAGAGCUGGGCCUUUCUCUGUGUGAUCGUGUGCCACACGGCGGGAGGGCGACCUCAGCCCUCGGGAAGGUCCCUCCGCUUCCAAGGGGACAGCUUGGGUUUAUGGAAUUUCCAGCUUCGGGUGCUUUUUGCACCGAGUCACAACCCAAGUCACAGGGCGGCUGGACACGGGCCACAUCGCCCUGCUUCCUGAGGGCCAGGGGUCAGGCUCUCCCGGCAAGGCGCUGGUGGGCGACGCUGUUCUUUAUGCCCGAGGGACGCACCCGGUGGCUGUCCUCGGGCACUGACUGGCCAGGUCUCUGGGGAGAUGACCGUGUGCUCCUGGGGACAACGGCGGGACGGAGAAGAGAGGCAGCAGGAGGACAUGCCGGGGGGGUAGGGCCCUGGUGAAGCAGAAGGAAGGCGCUGGGUGUCUGGGGAAGAGGAAGGAAGGGCCUGUGUGGGGCUCGGGCAGGGGGUCGCGGGUGUGUGUGUGUGUGUGCGCGCGUGUGCGCACGUGGGGGAGGGGGACAUGGGGCCUCGGAGUCCACGAUGAGGGCUCGGUGAGUCCCAGGCCGCAUUAACCUGCCAGGAAACAGGCUGCAGAGGAGUCGGGGCAGGCAGGCGGCCGGCUGGAGGCCUGUGUGCCCAGCGCACAGAUGUCACAGGAGCCUGGGAAAGUCGGGGUAGGUGGAACCAGCAUCCGUAGGGCAAGAGAGCCGGGGAGGGGAUGCCCUGUGCCCCAGCACCUCUGAUGGCGCCGGGCGGGUCCCCCUGCUCUGCCCCAGCCCCCCGUGCUGCUUUCGACUGCACCUGCACCUCUUCCCCCCGCCUGUUCCUUCCACGAACGUUCCACCUGCCCCAGCUGCCUUUACCUGCACAGGUAGCAGGUGGGAGGCCAGAGCUGCCGGGAGCACAGAGCGGGAGGAGGCUCGCGGCAGGUCGGGCAGCAGCUGGGAGUCCGCAGGCACCAGCCGCAUGGCCGGGUGCUUUGUCCGUCACCUUCUCGGGCAGAGGUCCCUGCCCCCUGGUGUCAUGCAUGCAAGGGGCCUGGCACUUUCUGGCAGAAAUGCUGUGGGAAUGUAAGCCAUCGUUAGCCUUUUCUGUGCUUGGGACGGGGCCAGUACCAAGGGCGUAGGGGUGACACAGCGGGAAAGCUUGAAGGCCAGCCGGGCUCGCUCGCGGGACCGGAGGCCUUACUGCUGAGGCUUCCUUCACGGGGCAUCACUGUCCACGUAGCUUUUCAUCUGCGUCUGCGUUAGGUCAGGGCUCCUGCCCUGCCCACCCGGGCCUCGCUCUCCCCUGGACGGAAAGCCGUGUGUCCGGUUCCCUGCCUGUCUCUAAGGACAGUUCCCGCGCCGAUGAGCGUCCACAGGUCACGGCAGCCCCCGACGUUUCAUCCGCCUCUGCCUUUUCCCAUCGGCCACACUCCGGAGGUCCCUGCGUCAGGCACCGGGGCUCCCUCUUGCUUGGGGGGCGGGCUGUCUUCAAGGUCGCCCCGCGGAGGCAGGGCUGUUCCGCCCUUGGCGCGAUCACUUGUGCUUGAAGCAAAGGAUCCCGGCGAGGUGGGACCCUAAGCUCAGAGGCAGCGCGAGCUCGCCCCAGGGUGUGCCCGCUGGCACGUCUCCGUGCACAGGUAUGUCACUUCGAGAGAUGGUUUGCUGAGUGUAAGCGCGCCCAGGGUCCCGGGGACGGGUGUCAGCAGGAGCUGUUGUAGGGCGUCCUCAGCGGGCGCAGGCAUGAACCCGACGGCCCCCGACCUCGUGGGACUGCGGUGGAGUGCUCAGAACGGCCCUGGAUCAGGCAGCGUCCCGGCUGUGGGUACCCCAGACCUAAACGGGGCUUGGGCUCGGAGGGCCAGUUUGCGUGUGGUCGCACAAACGGCAGGUCCCCGAACUCUGAGGAGAGCCCCCGCCCAGACCGAGGACCCUCGUGUCCUGCGGCCACCCCUCCUGCCGUCCCGCUCAUGUUCGGAGCUAUGUGUGCUCGGAGAUCACUGGGCUCCUUGCCAGAACGACCAUCUACAGAAAGUUGUAGGGCCAGAGUCAGCAGGGCAGGAAGAGGGAGCACCAAUGGCCACGGCAUGGACACUCUAGAGGCCGAGGCAGACCGCCAGCUGUGGCUCGAGGGGCUCAGGGCUGGCGGGAAUGCGCCGUGCCAGGUUGAGUUCUGCACCUCCCGGGCAGUCCCGGCGGUGCCUUCAACGUGCCCUUUGACCUGGCGGCUGUCUUCAAAUUAGUUUCUCUUUCCUGAGCCACGGGCUGUCGGAAGACGAGGGAUAACUCCGCGACUGAAACAGCGACACGCGGCAGUGUUUCUGGCUGGUCUGAAGUCGCCUGGGCGUGGGCUACAGGCUGUGGGGCUGCGGCGGACACAGUGUCACCCCCAGAGCUGCAGACGUGUGUCCCAUGUUCCUGCUGGGGUGCUGCCCUUGUCCCCCCUACUCUCUGAACGAACGCUGGGUAGAACCAGCGUUUGGAUCCAGUCCUCGUGUCCCCAAAAUUCACAUGUCCGAGUCCAACCCCCAGGACCUCAAAGAGUGACUGUAUUUGGAGACAGGUUUUUACUUUUUACUCUUUAAAAAAAAUUUUUUUUUAAUGUUUGUUUAUUUUUGAGGGGGGAGGAGAGGCAGAGAGAGAGACACACAGAAUCCGAAGCAGGAUCCAGGCUCUGAGCUGUCGGCAUAGGACCCGACGUGGGGCUCGAACUCACAGACUGUGAGAUCAUGACCUGAGCCGAAGCCGGAGGCUCAACCGACUGAGCCACCCAGGUUCCCCAAUUUUUUACUCUUUUAAGUUUAUUUAUUUAUUUUGAAGAGAGCAAGGGAGUGCCUACAAGCAGGGGAGGGGCAGAGAGAGAAGGAGAGAGAGAAUCCCAAGCAGGCUCUGCACUGUCAGGACAGAGCCUGAUGUGGGGUUCAAUCCCGGGAACUGUGAGAUCACGACUGAAGCUGAAAUCAAGAGUCGGACCCUUAAUCGACUGAGCUACUCAGGUGCCUCUGGAGACAGGGCCUUUAAAAAGGGGAUUAGAUGGGGGGGCGCCUGGGUGGCUCAGUGGGUUGAGCGUCCGACUUCGGCUCAGGCCGUGAUCUCACAGUUCAUGGAUUUGAGCCUCACGUCAGUCUCGUGCUGACAGCUCGGAGCCUGGAGCCUGCUUCGGAAUCUGUGUCUCCCUCUCUCUCUGCCUUUCCCCUCCUUGUGCUCUGUCUCUCUC
Panthera uncia (snow leopard) is the source of this 14950-nucleotide long non-coding RNA. RefSeq lists it as uncharacterized. The transcript has 2 exons. The record is from RefSeq and is a predicted model, not a curated record. Lineage: Eukaryota; Metazoa; Chordata; Mammalia; Carnivora; Felidae.